CUGGAUGCAGUGCUAUAAUGCAGUCGAACGCGUUGGCCCAAUUGAUUGAUGGUGCUUGCACCUGAUUGAUUUUGGUCGCCAACGAGUGGCGGACGGGUGAGUAACACGUAGGUAACCUGCCCAGAAGCGGGGGACAACAUUUGGAAACAGAUGCUAAUACCGCAUAACAGCGUUGUUCGCAUGAACAACGCUUAAAAGAUGGCUUCUCGCUAUCACUUCUGGAUGGACCUGCGGUGCAUUAGCUUGUUGGUGGGGUAACGGCCUACCAAGGCGAUGAUGCAUAGCCGAGUUGAGAGACUGAUCGGCCACAAUGGGACUGAGACACGGCCCAUACUCCUACGGGAGGCAGCAGUAGGGAAUCUUCCACAAUGGGCGCAAGCCUGAUGGAGCAACACCGCGUGAGUGAAGAAGGGUUUCGGCUCGUAAAGCUCUGUUGUUAAAGAAGAACACGUAUGAGAGUAACUGUUCAUACGUUGACGGUAUUUAACCAGAAAGUCACGGCUAACUACGUGCCAGCAGCCGCGGUAAUACGUAGGUGGCAAGCGUUAUCCGGAUUUAUUGGGCGUAAAGAGAGUGCAGGCGGUUUUCUAAGUCUGAUGUGAAAGCCUUCGGCUUAACCGGAGAAGUGCAUCGGAAACUGGAUAACUUGAGUGCAGAAGAGGGUAGUGGAACUCCAUGUGUAGCGGUGGAAUGCGUAGAUAUAUGGAAGAACACCAGUGGCGAAGGCGGCUACCUGGUCUGCAACUGACGCUGAGACUCGAAAGCAUGGGUAGCGAACAGGAUUAGAUACCCUGGUAGUCCAUGCCGUAAACGAUGAGUGCUAGGUGUUGGAGGGUUUCCGCCCUUCAGUGCCGGAGCUAACGCAUUAAGCACUCCGCCUGGGGAGUACGACCGCAAGGUUGAAACUCAAAGGAAUUGACGGGGGCCCGCACAAGCGGUGGAGCAUGUGGUUUAAUUCGAAGCUACGCGAAGAACCUUACCAGGUCUUGACAUCUUGCGCCAACCCUAGAGAUAGGGCGUUUCCUUCGGGAACGCAAUGACAGGUGGUGCAUGGUCGUCGUCAGCUCGUGUCGUGAGAUGUUGGGUUAAGUCCCGCAACGAGCGCAACCCUUGUUACUAGUUGCCAGCAUUAAGUUGGGCACUCUAGUGAGACUGCCGGUGACAAACCGGAGGAAGGUGGGGACGACGUCAGAUCAUCAUGCCCCUUAUGACCUGGGCUACACACGUGCUACAAUGGACGGUACAACGAGUCGCGAACUCGCGAGGGCAAGCAAAUCUCUUAAAACCGUUCUCAGUUCGGACUGCAGGCUGCAACUCGCCUGCACGAAGUCGGAAUCGCUAGUAAUCGCGGAUCAGCAUGCCGCGGUGAAUACGUUCCCGGGCCUUGUACACACCGCCCGUCACACCAUGAGAGUUUGUAACACCCAAAGUCGGUGGGGUAACCUUUAGGAGCCAGCCGCCUAAGGUGACAGAUGG
Molecule: ribosomal RNA, 1476 nt
Filed under: Limosilactobacillus fermentum
Lineage: Bacteria; Bacillati; Bacillota; Bacilli; Lactobacillales; Lactobacillaceae
Description: bacterial SSU rRNA
Rfam family: Bacterial small subunit ribosomal RNA
Source: RNAcentral